UACGGGGGGGGUAAGCGUUGUUCGGAAUUACUGGGCGUAAAGGGCUCGUAGGCGGCCAACUAAGUCAGACGUGAAAUCCCUCAGCUUAACUGGGAACUGCGUCUGAUACUGGAUGGCUUGGAUUCGGGAGAGGAAUGCGGAAUUCCAGGUGUAGCGGUGAAAUGCGGAGAUAUCUGGAGGAACACCGGUGGCGAAGGCGGCAUUCUGGACCGAUAUUGACGCUGAGGAGCGAAAGCCAGGGGAGCAAACGGG
Molecule: ribosomal RNA, 252 nt
Filed under: uncultured bacterium
Lineage: Bacteria
Description: partial 16S ribosomal RNA
Rfam family: Bacterial small subunit ribosomal RNA
Source: RNAcentral